ACGCUCGACACCUACGGGAGGCAGCAGUGGGGAAUAUUGCACAAUGGGGGAAACCCUGAUGCAGCGACGCCGCGUGAGCGAAGAAGUAUUUCGGUAUGUAAAGCUCUAUCAGCAGGGAAGAAGAAAGACGGUACCUGACUAAGAAGCCCCGGCUAACUACGUGCAAGCAGCCGCGGUAAUCUGAGCGGGCUGGCAAGGC
Molecule: ribosomal RNA, 199 nt
Filed under: uncultured bacterium
Lineage: Bacteria
Description: partial 16S ribosomal RNA
Rfam family: Bacterial small subunit ribosomal RNA
Source: RNAcentral